AUCCCCUCUUGGUGUUUUGGCUAACAUCAAGCGUAGUAUGUGUUCUUAUCAGUUUAAUAUCCACUAUGUUUCGAACCUGGGAACCAUAUAAUGAAUUGACUUUUGGAACAGGAAGAUGGUAUAAGGGCUUGGUAUUGCAAUACCUCCAGUAACGGUACACCCCCC
This 165-nucleotide small nuclear RNA is filed under the name Sphaeramia orbicularis (orbiculate cardinalfish). RNAcentral's name for it is "U2 spliceosomal RNA (ENSSORG00005003712.1)". It matches the Rfam family "U2 spliceosomal RNA". From Rfam's summary of the family: U2 is a small nuclear RNA (snRNA) component of the spliceosome (involved in pre-mRNA splicing). Complementary binding between U2 snRNA (in an area lying towards the 5' end but 3' to hairpin I) and the branchpoint sequence (BPS) of the intron results the bulging out of an unpaired adenosine, on the BPS, which initiates a nucleophilic attack at the intronic 5' splice site, thus starting the first of two transesterification reactions that mediate splicing. Lineage: Eukaryota; Metazoa; Chordata; Actinopteri; Kurtiformes; Apogonidae. The record is from Rfam by way of RNAcentral.